GAUGAACGCUGGCGGCGUGCCUAAUACAUGCAAGUCGAGCGAACAGAUGAGGAGCUUGCUCCUCUGACGUUAGCGGCGGACGGGUGAGUAACACGUGGAUAGCCUACCUAUAAGACUGGGAUAACUUCGGGAAACCGGAGCUAAUACCGGAUAAUAUAUUGAACCGCAUGGUUCAAUAGUGAAAGACGGUUUUGCUGUCACUUAUAGAUGGAUCCGCGCCGCAUUAGCUAGUUGGUAAGGUAACGGCUUACCAAGGCAACGAUGCGUAGCCGACCUGAGAGGGUGAUCGGCCACACUGGAACUGAGACACGGUCCAGACUCCUACGGGAGGCAGCAGUAGGGAAUCUUCCGCAAUGGGCGAAAGCCUGACGGAGCAACGCCGCGUGAGUGAAGAAGGUCUUCGGAUCGUAAAACUCUGUUAUUAGGGAAGAACAAAUGUGUAAGUAACUAUGCACGUCUUGACGGUACCUAAUCAGAAAGCCACGGCUAACUACGUG
RNAcentral lists this ribosomal RNA (497 nucleotides) under uncultured bacterium. RNAcentral describes it as "partial 16S ribosomal RNA". It matches the Rfam family "Bacterial small subunit ribosomal RNA", at positions 28 to 507 of the family's 1533-position model. The record is from RNAcentral.